UCUUCCAAGGAGCGUUGCAGCAAGCCACCCGGCUUGUCAGGCUUGGAAUGGGUUUGACACCACCGCAACGACGCUCACCUGAC
Molecule: non-coding RNA, 83 nt
Filed under: Rhodoferax ferrireducens
Lineage: Bacteria; Pseudomonadati; Pseudomonadota; Betaproteobacteria; Burkholderiales; Comamonadaceae
Description: SAH sequence
Rfam family: SAH (S-adenosyl-L-homocysteine) riboswitch aptamer
Source: RNAcentral